GUAGGGUGCGAGCGUUAAUCGGAAUUACUGGGCGUAAAGCGUGCGCAGGCGGCUUUGCAAGACAGAUGUGAAAUCCCCGGGCUCAACCUGGGAACUGCAUUUGUGACUGCAAGGCUAGAGUACGGCAGAGGGGGAUGGAAUUCCGCGUGUAGCAGUGAAAUGCGUAGAUAUGCGGAGGAACACCAAUGGCGAAGGCAAUCCCCUGGGCCUGUACUGACGCUCAUGCACGAAAGCGUGGGGAGCAAAC
Molecule: ribosomal RNA, 247 nt
Filed under: uncultured Aquabacterium sp.
Lineage: Bacteria; Pseudomonadati; Pseudomonadota; Betaproteobacteria; Burkholderiales; Sphaerotilaceae
Description: partial 16S ribosomal RNA
Rfam family: Bacterial small subunit ribosomal RNA
Source: RNAcentral